CCUACGGGAGGCAGCAGUGGGGAAUCUUGGACAAUGGGCGCAAGCCUGAUCCAGCCAUGCCGCGUGAGUGAUGAAGGCCCUAGGGUCGUAAAGCUCUUUCAACUGUGAAGAUAAUGACGGUAGCAGUAGAAGAAACCCCGGCUAACUCCGUGCCAGCAGCCGCGGUAAUACGGAGGGGGUUAGCGUUGUUCGGAAUUACUGGGCGUAAAGCGUACGUAGGCGGACUGUUAAGUCAGAGGUGAAAUCCCGGGGCUCAACCCCGGAACUGUCUUUGAUACUGGCAGUCUUGAGUUCGAGAGAGGUGAGUGGAAUUCCAAGUGUAGAGGUGAAAUUCGUAGAUAUUUGGAGGAACACCAGUGGCGAAGGCGGCUCACUGGCUCGAUACUGACGCUGAGGUACGAAAGUGUGGGGAGCAAACAGGAUUAGAUACCCUGGUAGUCCACACCGUAAACGAUGAAUGCCAGACGUCGGGUAGCAUGCUAUUCGGUGUCACACCUAACGGAUUAAGCAUUCCGCCUGGGGAGUACGGUCGCAAGAUUAAAACUCAAAGGAAUUGACGG
Molecule: ribosomal RNA, 560 nt
Filed under: uncultured bacterium
Lineage: Bacteria
Description: bacterial SSU rRNA
Rfam family: Bacterial small subunit ribosomal RNA
Source: RNAcentral